UACGUAGGUGGCAAGCGUUGUCCGGAUUUACUGGGCGUAAAGAGCGCGCAGGCGGCCAAGUCAGUCGAAUGUGAAAGCCCCCGGCUUAACUGGGGAGGGUCAUUCGAUACUGCUCGGCUCGAAGACAGGAGAGGGAAGCGGAAUUCCCGGUGUAGAGGUGAAAUUCGUAGAUAUUCGGAGGAACACCAGUGGCGAAGGCGGCUUACUGGUCCAUUACUGACGCUGAGGUGCGAAAGCGUGGGGAGCAAACAGG
RNAcentral lists this ribosomal RNA (253 nucleotides) under uncultured bacterium. RNAcentral's name for it is "partial 16S ribosomal RNA". It matches the Rfam family "Bacterial small subunit ribosomal RNA", at positions 524 to 776 of the family's 1533-position model. The record is from RNAcentral.